UUUGGUAUAUAUCCUAACUUGUUUUGAUUUUAUAUAACAGCGUUACUCUCUGAUUCAUCGUCUUCUUAUUGACGGCAGAGGAAAUUGCAGCGAUUUGAUCAGGUUUCUUUAGGUUUUAGGGUUUGAUGUUCAUAUAUUAUCAUCUAUCUUGUAUUAUGGAUCUUCUGGUUUUUUUUUUUUUUUGGGUUUUGUUUCUAAAACUUGGUUAAGUCAAUGAUCUGAAACACGUGUUUGACUAAUUGGGUUCUGUUUGAUCAGUCUGAAUUGUUUCAACAUGUUUUGGUUAUGAAUUCAAUAAGUGAAGAAAUCGCUGAAGAACUGUCUUUUUGCUCGCUUCAAUAAUUGGGGUUCUGUUUCAUCAGUCUAGACCUAACUCACGAAGCAGAGGAGACCAUUAGAAUUCUUUAUGUGUUAUUUUUGUUUUUUUUCUUUCUCCUGUAGUUUGAAGUUCUUGUCUUUCUUCUUCAGCAAGUCACAAGUGAGUAUCUUCUCCUUACAUUUGUAGCUCUCAUGCAGUGCUUUCUUCAUGGUUUUAUGUUUGAUGGUUGAUUCAUUGAAACUGCAUGAAGCAUGAUGUAGUUUACUACCUCAGAUUAUUAAGUUUGCAAAUAGUUCUGCUCUAUUAUGUAUAUAUACGUAGUAGGUGCUGUUGUUCCAAAGGCAUAGUCUACUGACGCCCAAUGAGCUUGUAAAGGGUAAGUGUUUAAUGAGUUUCUACUAUGAGAGACUGCUCUGAUGAUUUUUUUUUCUUUUUCUUUUGCAGGUUUACUCUACAAAUUUAGUUGAUGGCACCAAAUCUGAAGUAUAAUGUGCUGAAGCAAUCACAAAUACACAGUAUGUGUCAUUUAGGAUUAUUAUAAGGUAAAUGAUCAGUUGUCGAUUUCUAUAAGAAUCACUAUAUGAAGAAUUUGUCUAUCUCCUUUAACGGUUUGGACUCUCAUGGGAAGAAGACCUCUAUAUCUAACUCACGAAGCAGAGGAGACUGUUACGUUCUUUAGAAAAGUCUGUACGGUGUGUAGUGUGAUUAAUACGAUUUGCCUCUCUCUUGUUGGUUAUAUUAUGAUGGCUUGGAUUCAUGGAGUCUAUAUAGAUGUGUUUGGAGUACUCUGAAUGGGAAGAGAGGUUUAUGCGUUUUUUGCUUAAUUUGUUGUAUACACGAAUAGGAAAUGGUCUGCUGAAAUAUUUUUGCAGGUUUACUCCAAAUAUCUAGUUGAUGGCAUCAAAUAUAGAAUCUUGUGUGCUGGCCCAAUCACAUAAAAAGGAGUAUCUCUGCGAUAAUGAUGAGGGAAAGGUGUCAAAAUAGUCACUAGAUUCUGAGGUAAGUGAUCGCUUGCAAAUCUUUUUAGUAUCAAUAUAUGGAGAAACUAUCUUUCUGCUUUGACGGUCUAGCCUCUUAGUGGGAUAUGUCUUUUUGUCAAUAUCGUAGUUUCAACUUAUUAUUUCCUAGAAUUUUGCUAUGUGUUUUGAAUAGCUUCUAGAUCUAACAUACAAAGCAGAGGAGACCUAUAUAACUUCUUUAGAAAAGUCUGUAUGAUGCGUGAUGAAUUCUGAUUUGCCUCUUUCUUGUUGGUUGUUUGUACCCAAGUUAAUUUCUUGCGAUCUCAGGUUUGUCUUCUAAUACUUUAUUUAGGACAUUAAAAGUUCCAAGUUCUACCCAAAAUAUCACUGUAGCAGUUAUGAUGCCAACCAACCAUUUCUUGUAGUUUUUAGACUAACUAGAUCACUACUCAGGACAGCCAAACCAACUUUGACAUUAUUAGUGUGAAGACUCAAGUGGAAAUCUGUAUUGAUAAAUGGUGUGAAAUGAACAUAAUAUCCCUCUCUGCAGUUUCUCCACUAUCCUAUCAACUUGAUCUUGAUCUCUUGCUUAUCACCUUUGACUUCAUAUGGUAUGUCUUCAAUCUUUAUGUGGUGGUUUUGUCUCUCAUGUAGUUUGAAGUUGUUGUCUCUCUUCUCCAGCAAGUCACAAGUUUACUCUACGUAUCUACUUGAUGACUUAAAAUCUAAAACUUAUCUGCUGACCCAAUUACAAAAAGAGUAUGUAAGUAAGCACUCCAUCACUCCUCUUUCGAUGUAUAGUUCUCGUUUCUGUUGUAUAAGCUCUGUGAUAAUGAUAUAGCUUUGUCUAUGAAAGCUAAUCAGAAUAAUAGUUAGAAAAUGAGCUAAAUGAUCACUGCUGAUAUUUUUCUGCAUCAAUAUAUGGAUAACAUCUACCCAUCUAUUUUGGCUGUCUUUGGCUAUCCGAGGUAAGUAGUAAUUUCAACUUAUCAUUUUUUUAAGAGUUCACUCUUUACCAUCUAUUAUUUUUUGAUGUGUUGUAGUAGUUGGUUUUAGAAUGAGGCUUCUAAAUCUAAUUGGCAAAGCAGAGGACUUACAUAUUUGGUUCCAAGUUCUAACAAAAAUGUUACUUGUAGAAGUAUUGAAUUCCCAAGGCUGGCUAAUGCCUCUUCAGUUAUAUUUUAGAGUCUGCCUGCAUCGAGGAAUUGUCACACUUUGAUGUUGCUUCUGAUGCCUUUUCAACAUUCAAGGAUCUUCUCACAAAACAUGGCUCUGUAGUCUCCGAGUUUCUCACCUCUCAUUAGUAAGGUUUGCUUCAACAUCUUUUUAAAGUUUACAUGAAGACAUGAAAUAUAUUUCUUGGUUAUAUGACGAGAAGGCUGUCACUGAAGGUUCUCUUUGCAACAAUUCUUAUGUUGGUACUAUAUUCGUAUAUGUAUCACCUUUUAAAUAGUAUUGUUAGAAAUGAGAGUAUUCGUGGUUGGUAUAGCUUUUCUCAGAUUUCUUAUUUACUAACUACACUAUUUACGAGUAAGGAUAUGUUUUGAACUCAUUGGGUUCAUAUAUCAACUCUUCCUUGAAAGAUGUGUAGUUUGAUCAGUGUAUAUGUGAUUAACUAUUCUGUUUUCUAAAUGUGGCAAAUUAGUCAUUAAUCAAAUAAGUGAAGAAAUCACUGUAGAACUGGCUUUUUUCUCAAUGCAUAUAAAUCUAUACAGUUCUCUAUCUCCCUGGAAAUGUCUUGCUUUUUUCGAGGUACGUUAUUCUUAUUUUUGAUUUUCCUCUUACGGUUUGAUGUUAUUGGCUCUUUUCUUCUGCAGUGGGAGAGUUCAUAGUCUAGUGUGACUAUGUGAGCUUACAAAUAGGAUUCUUUCAAAUCACUUGAUGAAACAGUAGGCUUGCAUAGAAUAAAAUAAAUACAUACAUCAUGCUUGCAUUGGCUUUUUAUUCUGUGCGUUUACCAGCUUUUGAUUGCUUGAGUCAUAAACUUGUUUUUGUCCCUUAACUUUUUUGUAUGCUUAUAUACUUCCUUGUUUCCGUUUCAUGCUUGUUUACUUGUUCAUUAUUUCCAUCCUUACUUCUUUAAUUUGCUUUCUUACUUGUUAUCUUAAAGUAAGGAAUAGGUUUAUGCUUACUUACUGAGUUUGUUGUAUGUAAAAGGGAAAAGUGCUCUGCUGAAUAUGUUUUGUUUUUUCUGCAGGUUUACUCUACAAAUCUAGUUGAUGGUUUCUGACUCAAUCAAAAAAAAAAAAUGAGUUUGUAGGUGAUCAAAUAAUCACUAGACUCUGAGGUGAAUGAUCACUUGCCAAUAUAUGGAGAAACAUCCAUAUCCGUUGAUGGUCUUAACUUUCAUGUGACCAGGGCUUCUAGAUCUAAUUAACAAAGCAGAGGAGACCAUUAAACAAUCCAUCUCCUUUGACGGUCUAGCCUCCAGUGGGAAAGAAGCUUAUAUGGUUAUACAAAGCAGAGGAGACCUUUAGGAGAAUCAUCCAUAUCUUUUAACGAAUAUAUGGAGAAACAUCCAUAUCUUUUGAUGGUCCAUGUUGUGGAACUGUCAGACUUUGAUGUUGCUUCUGAUGCCUUUUCAACAUUUACGGAUCAUCUCACAAAACAUGGCUCUGUAGUCUCCGAGUUUCUCACCUCUCAUUAGUAAGGUUUGCUUCAACAUCAUUAGUAGGUUUAUGCUUUCUUACUUAAGUUGUUGUACGUAAAAGGUAAAAGUGAGCUGCUGAAUGUUUUUUGUUUCUGCAACUUUACUUUACAGACCUACUUGAUGGUCAAAUCUGAAAUUGUAUUUGCUGACCUGAUCACAAAAAAAAAAAAAAGAGUAUGUAGGUUAGAACUCUAUCACCUAAACAACUAGCAAAGAACUUUGCUCACCACUUUCUGAUCUAUGGUUCUCGUUUCUGCUACAUAAACUCUGUGAUAAUGAUAUAUCUUUUCUUAGAGUUCAUUUUACUAUGUUUUCUGAAUGCAUGGUUGAAUUCAGAACAGGGCUUCUAGAUCUAACUUACAAAGCAGAGGAGACCAUUAAAUUUCUUUAGAAAUUGUUGUACGGUAUGUGAUGAAUUUGUUUUGCCACUAUCUUGUUGAUUGUACAAAAGCUACUAUAUGUGUAUACUACUUGAUGACCUCAAAUUUGUGCUGACCCAAUCACAAAAAAGUGAGCAUGUGGUCAGGAUUCAGGCGAUGAGCUAAAUGGUGCUGAUAUUUUUAAGCAUCAUAUAUAUAUGGAGAACAUCUACCCAUCUCUUUCGACUAUCUUUGGCUAUCGUGAGGUAAGUCUUCGUCCAUAUAGUAAUUUCAACUGAUAAUUUUCUUAAGUGUUCACUCUUAGUAUGUAUUUCUUCUAAUGCUUGGAAGUACUCAACUUUAGAAUGAGACUUCUAAAUCUAAUUGGCAAAGUAGAGGAGACUAAUAGACUUAAAUUUUAAAAGUUAGGACGGUCCUCACUACUCACAAAGCAGAGGAGCUAGUUCCUUCCAAGGUAUAUGUCCUCUAUCUUUUACUCAUGUUUGAUCUUGUGAGUUUGCUUUAAUAAUUUGAUGUUCUCUUCAAUAUAGCACAUGGUCUUAGAACUUGACAUUAAGGUCCAUGUUCAUCUUAUGUAGUUGCAGAUUUCACAGUCUAAUGUGAUGUGGUCUAGUUUCAUAGAUUCUUCGAUCUUCCAAAUCACUUAACGAAGCCAGACACAACACAUGCAAAAAUCAUAUAAAUAUACACAUCACACGCAUAACAUAUUUACAUGCAUCUAUACAUACAUGCAUCUAUACAUACA
This is a long non-coding RNA of Capsella rubella, 5053 nucleotides long. RefSeq lists it as uncharacterized. The record is from RefSeq and is a predicted model, not a curated record. The transcript has 13 exons. Lineage: Eukaryota; Viridiplantae; Streptophyta; Magnoliopsida; Brassicales; Brassicaceae.